RNAcentral lists this ribosomal RNA (495 nucleotides) under uncultured bacterium. RNAcentral describes it as "partial 16S ribosomal RNA". It matches the Rfam family "Bacterial small subunit ribosomal RNA", at positions 28 to 507 of the family's 1533-position model. The record is from RNAcentral.
GACGAACGCUGGCGGCGUGCCUAAUACAUGCAAGUCGAACGCUGAAGGAGGAGCUUGCUUCUCUGGAUGAGUUGCGAACGGGUGAGUAACGCGUAGGUAACCUGCCUGGUAGCGGGGGAUAACUAUUGGAAACGAUAGCUAAUACCGCAUAAUAUUGACUAUUGCAUGAUAGUCAGUUGAAAGGUGCAACUGCACCACUACCAGAUGGACCUGCGUUGUAUUAGCUAGUUGGUGGGGUAACGGCUCACCAAGGCGACGAUACAUAGCCGACCUGAGAGGGGGAUCGGCCACCCUGGGACUGGGACACGGCCCAGACUCCUACGGGAGGCAGCAGUAGGGAAUCUUCGGCAAUGGACGGAAGUCUGACCGAGCAACGCCGCGUGAGUGAAGAAGGUUUUCGGAUCGUAAAGCUCUGUUGUAAGAGAAGAACGAGUGUGAGAGUGGAAAGCUCACACUGUGACGGUAGCUUACCAGAAAGGGACGGCUAACUACGUG